CCAUAUCAUUAAACUUCAAGUCCUCUUUACUUCCAUACGCAACAAUCCCCUUACUCAGGUGUAAGUUUAUGUCAAUUUAUCCACCCACUAUAAGAGAAUCAUGAACAUAUUGCAACACUCUCCAUCAGGAAUCCUUCACGUGUGCGAGACACGGAAGGUACCUUAGAACAACACCAUAUCAACAUACAACUCAUAUCAUCACACCAUACUACAAUUAACGCAUAGGAAAAAAAC
RNAcentral lists this long non-coding RNA (234 nucleotides) under Hordeum vulgare. Its description in RNAcentral is "long non-coding RNA (HVUL_LNC003780)". The record is from RNAcentral. Lineage: Eukaryota; Viridiplantae; Streptophyta; Magnoliopsida; Poales; Poaceae.